CCCAGGGCUACCCUUUUUGGGGUUUGGGGCGCAGCCUCGAGCUGUUGCUAAGGCUUCCCCUCUCUAACUGGGGCUGGCUUAGCCCAAAGUAAUCUGCUUCCCCAGGUGAGCGCCUGCGGGGGGAAGAGGGGCAGGCAGGUGGGGAGGCUGUGGCCCUGGGGAAGCUGCACGGGCCACGCUGGCAGCCCCCAGUGGCAGGAGGGUGCAGACCUCCCUUCCAGCUGGGGAGGAACAGCCUCGGGGCUGCUGGUGCUGGUGGGGCCUCGGCGGAGCCUGCAGGCAGGUGCUUGGCAGCAGCAGUUCACGGCCAGACCCCGCCUCCCAGUUGCAUGCCUGACCUUUGAGGGCACUCAGGUGUCUGGAGGGCAGGGGGUUCCACUGACUAGGGUGAAUGAAGCGCACCUGUUUGUAUAAAGACAACACGUGUGC
RNAcentral lists this long non-coding RNA (429 nucleotides) under Homo sapiens (human). RNAcentral describes it as "non-protein coding lnc-TTC34-8:1". Lineage: Eukaryota; Metazoa; Chordata; Mammalia; Primates; Hominidae. The record is from RNAcentral.